Long non-coding RNA from Portunus trituberculatus (swimming crab), 408 nucleotides. RefSeq lists it as uncharacterized. The transcript is spliced from 4 exons. The record is from RefSeq and is a predicted model, not a curated record. Lineage: Eukaryota; Metazoa; Arthropoda; Malacostraca; Decapoda; Portunidae.
AUGGAGAGCGGUGUCGUGUCGAAUCGUUUCUGCCAGACAGAUAGCGGGAACAGCACGCACCUAUCCUGUCAUACAAAAAUAAGGCUAUGACUGCUGAGUGGAGUGCAGGAGGCAGCUACUGAACCUUACGAGAGAAGAGUCACCAUGCGUCACUAGGUUUAGGUCCCGAUUCUCCACCUGAAUGGAGUCUAUGCAUCCUCGGAAGCCCUGGUAGUAGGCUGGAGGCAGACCACGCGGCAUCUUUGGAGACCCACCUGUGCAACAUGAAAAAUUUUGCCAUUGGUGUUAAGUGUGGUAGAACCACGGUUAGCAAGGCCCUUUACUGGACGUUCAUUGUCAACUCUGAGGACUCCGAGACGUUUCCGUCGAUGUACUACCAGCACGUGCCACUGACCAUCAUCCACGCGC